GGAUGCGAUCAUAGCAGCACUAAAGCAUCGGAUCCCAUCAGAACUCCAAAGUUAAGCGUGCUUGGCGAGAGUAGUACUAGGAUGGGUGACCUCCUGGGAAGUCCUCGUGUUGCAUUCC
RNAcentral lists this ribosomal RNA (118 nucleotides) under Aegilops tauschii subsp. strangulata. The record is from RNAcentral. Lineage: Eukaryota; Viridiplantae; Streptophyta; Magnoliopsida; Poales; Poaceae.